CGCGUGGACAGCGCGGCGAUUGGCGGGGCGGCGGCAGGGCCCCGGCGCGCGGGCCAAUGGCGCGGCGCGGCCACCACGUGCACAGCCUGUGGGUAAACAGGGAGCGGGGGCGGGGCCGGGGGCGGGGCCCUCACCGCUCACCCCUUCACGCCCCUCCGUGACGGAACCCGGGCGGUGGUGGCGGCGGUUCGGGGUCUUGGCCCUCGCUUCGCCCCUUCCUUUGGGCUGCCCGCCAGCCCAGCGCUCUGGGAAAGCCGUGUGCCCUUGGUGACCCCGCGCUGAGGGGAUACCGUGUCUCUCGGUGUCCCCCGGGUGCUGCCCUGGGAGAGAGGGAGGCAGCGUGGCGCUCUGGGGCGGUCUCAGCCUCUCCCGCUGACAGCCGGGCUGGCUGGGACUGUGAAGUAUGGAAAAACGAUGUGGUGCUGCUGCUCCCCCUCUGCUUUGCCUGGGGAUUACCUGCCUACAGUGUGGAAACCUCGUGUCCACACAAAUCAUGUGUGUUUCUGCACCUUGUAACGCAAAAAGCGCUCUGGUUCAAGAACUUGUUAUUACAACCCCUCUUGGUACCUGGGCAGCGAAAUGGGUGCACUCCGCUGUGUGCUGUCCCACCUGAGCACAUCAUCCAUUGGUAACUCUUGGGAGACAGAAUAAAGAAUAAAUGCAAAGCUUUGCUGUUAUGUUUAGAGGCAGAAGCUUAGGAAACCCCAGUGGGCAGUGGAAGAGUGGUGAAUGUGUCUGAGGUGAUGGGUGGGCGCGGGCAGAAUCAUCAUUCCCACAGUGGUGAGGGAACCCUCACCCACCCCAGACGUGCUGCAAACCAAAACGCUUCGAUUCCUCUGGACACGUACUGCAAUUAAUGCUGUUCUUGGCCUCGUGGCGUUUUACGGUGGCCCAGGCAUCUCCCGGGAGGUGUGUGGGGUGGGUGAUGGCUUUUCCACGGGUGACCGAGGAGUCAUUUCCUGCUCCGUCACCUGCCUGCUGGAAGCUCCUCACAGCUGCAUCUUCCUGCAUUCCUCCAUCCCUCUGGGGCGCUGCAAAACGCCGGCCUGGUGCUUCCCAGCUGACUCAGUUAAUUACUGAAAUUAGCAAAACUUGUCCUCGGCCCUUGGCUUUUAAAUAAAUAGCCAAUGAGAUAAAUCUAGGUUUUCACAGAGCGCCCGUGGUUCCCAUGAAAUGUAGUCUCAUAUUGAGAGUUCCUUCUGUGAGGAAUUUGCCAAGAGCCAGGGGAGCAGAGAUGUUACAAUGGUGGCCUCACAUCUGCUGGAACUGCACCCCUGACUGGCAUUAUCUCCACUAACUCUGCAUUAAGCAUCCUGAUAUUUCAGUCCCCUGGGGAAAUCUACUGACCUGGAGGUUCCUGAUGCAGUGGACAUGCUCAGCCGCUGUAGCAGAGCUGUGGCCAUCAGAAGCAGGACCUGAGCAGCCUCCUGCUGAUGUAACCUCAAUUUCCCACCAAGCCUGAGCAUUUCUGACAGCAGAAAGCAUUUACCAGUGGACUGCUGAGCACAUCAAGAUGGAUACAGUUCUCUUGUUGUUUGGAUUGCGAGAGCCAUCACUCUGAUCAGAAGCUGAAAUCCUGCUUUGUGCUCCUCCAGUGUGGAAAUCUGUCAGCUCCUGUGACCCCUAUUACUGUAAUACCCGAGAACAUCACCUCUGGUCGUGCACUGAGCCUCCCAGUAUCUGAAGAAAGUUAGACUUGCAUUAAUAUUAUUUUCCUCUGUUCUACAUGGAGAACUGAGGUAAAGCCAGGUCAAGUGAUUCACCCAAAGGUGCUCUUUGAAAAGGGGUCCUAGUGCUGCACACACGUGCCCAGCCUUUGGCUGGUAUUUAAAACCGAGUUCUUUUGAUUGCAGAAAUGGCUUCAAGCAAGCCCCAAACACCCAACAGCAAACCAGAUGACACGGCACAAACCACAGGCUUUUGCUCAAAAGCCAGCUGAGAGACUGAAGUGAGAAAGGGUUCUGAGUUUCAUCCCUGCUGAACUGAGGAAGAUCGUGCGUGAACUGACAUCGCUGCAGAUCCGGGGAAGGCACGGAAAAUCCGAACGGCGAGAACCUGAACUUCGGAGAAGCAGCCUCACUUUUCUCAGGAGAAAAGAUGAAUCCACAGAGUAGAUCUUGCCACAGCAGAAGGAACAUGUGUCAUGGGAACAGCAGAGGCAAAAUGUGUAAUGGGAAAAUCUUGAUGGAUUCAGCCCAGGACGCGAAUAUGCAAAUUGAGACCAAAUUAAAUGCAAUUGAGCAAGAUAACACAUAUCCCAGCAAUGAAGAAAACUCACAGCACACUCGCAAAAAAGAUGGAGUUUAAAUCCAAGGAGGGGGGUCUGAGAAUGUCUAAGCAGUCCCCAGUGACUAAAUUUUAGCAGGAAUAUGAAAAUUUCUCCAAAAAGGAGUCAGGAAAGUGUUGCAGGAAUCAAACAAGGAGUAACUGAAGUGCAAGGGCCCAUUACUCAGUGGAAGAGGUGUAACCUGCCCCCCAACACAGCAAAGCUGUUAUUAAAUAAUAAUAUAGUUUUUCUGCUAUUAAAAAGUCAUCCUGGGGCUCACUUCUGGGAUACUGUAUAUAUUUUUUCUCUUCCUGGCCUGCUCUGCCGAAAGAGGGAUUUUCAAGAGUUGCUGGUUUCCAUCUCCAAAGUAGCUCAAUUUCAGUUCCAGGGGAAAUGAAACUCUCAACUAACUUCAUUUGUAAAGUCUUUGAAGAUGUUGGAAUGUCCUCUGGCUGUAAGGAGAGGGAGUGUGAUUCAGAGCUUGGU
Long non-coding RNA from Passer montanus (Eurasian tree sparrow), 2752 nucleotides. RefSeq lists it as uncharacterized. The transcript is spliced from 5 exons. The record is from RefSeq and is a predicted model, not a curated record. Lineage: Eukaryota; Metazoa; Chordata; Aves; Passeriformes; Passeridae.